This 772-nucleotide ribosomal RNA is filed under the name uncultured Streptococcus sp. RNAcentral describes it as "bacterial SSU rRNA". It matches the Rfam family "Bacterial small subunit ribosomal RNA", at positions 28 to 775 of the family's 1533-position model. Lineage: Bacteria; Bacillati; Bacillota; Bacilli; Lactobacillales; Streptococcaceae. The record is from RNAcentral.
GACGAACGCUGGCGGCGUGCCUAAUACAUGCAAGUAGAACGCACAGGAUGCACCGUAGUUUACUACACCGUAUUCUGUGAGUUGCGAACGGGUGAGUAACGCGUAGGUAACCUGCCUGGUAGCGGGGGAUAACUAUUGGAAACGAUAGCUAAUACCGCAUAAGAACAUUUACUGCAUGGUAGAUGUUUAAAAGGUGCAAAUGCAUCACUACCAGAUGGACCUGCGUUGUAUUAGCUAGUUGGUGAGGUAACGGCUCACCAAGGCAACGAUACAUAGCCGACCUGAGAGGGUGAUCGGCCACACUGGGACUGAGACACGGCCCAGACUCCUACGGGAGGCAGCAGUAGGGAAUCUUCGGCAAUGGGGGGAACCCUGACCGAGCAACGCCGCGUGAGUGAAGAAGGUUUUCGGAUCGUAAAGCUCUGUUGUUAAGGAAGAACGUGUGUGAGAGUGGAAAGUUCACACAGUGACGGUACUUAACCAGAAAGGGACGGCUAACUACGUGCCAGCAGCCGCGGUAAUACGUAGGUCCCGAGCGUUGUCCGGAUUUAUUGGGCGUAAAGCGAGCGCAGGCGGUUAGAUAAGUCUGAAGUGAAAGGCAGUGGCUCAACCAUUGUGGGCUUUGGAAACUGUUUAACUUGAGUGCAGAAGGGGAGAGUGGAAUUCCAUGUGUAGCGGUGAAAUGCGUAGAUAUAUGGAGGAACACCGGUGGCGAAAGCGGCUCUCUGGUCUGUAACUGACGCUGAGGCUCGAAAGCGUGGGGAGCGACAGG